This 437-nucleotide long non-coding RNA is filed under the name Brachypodium distachyon (stiff brome). RNAcentral's name for it is "long non-coding RNA (BDIS_LNC003121)". The record is from RNAcentral. Lineage: Eukaryota; Viridiplantae; Streptophyta; Magnoliopsida; Poales; Poaceae.
GUUGCCUGAAUGGGUUUCCGGGAUGGUGCGGAUUGAUGGGUUGGUUUCCUUUCGAAGAGAGGCGCGCGGCAAGGAAAGAAAUCGAAGAAAGAAAAUAUGGAAGGAAGGGUUUCCUUAAGUGCAGAGGAGGAAGAACGAGCACGAGCUCGUGCUCGGCUGGGCUGGGGCGUUCGGUGGAGAUGGGCCGGCCCAGUUUGGGUCGGUCGCUUCUCUUUUUCUUUUUCCUUUUUUUUCCAUUUCUGUUUUUAUUAAUAACUUUUGAUUACUAACUCCAAAUAAGUCCAAAUAAACUCCAGUAAAUUUGUAAAUUCAAAUCUUCCAAAGUGUGAACUUUUGGGACCUGAAUCCUUUCAAAAUAAAAUAAGUAAAAAUACUUUUGCUUAUAUGAAUGUCAUUAGAGCUUUAUAAGUAAUAAAUAAAAUAGGUUUUGACAUCUA